AUGAGAUAUCGGCGGCCUCCCUCGAGGAGGACCGCCGGACGCAGUGAAUAUCCUAUCCUGGAACUGCCGGGGGGGAACCGCCGGACAGUUCGUGAGGUUUUGGCCCUCUCAAAAGCCAACAACCCCAAGCUAGUCUUUCUCUGUGAGACUAGGCAAGAAGCAUCUAAAGUGGAGAAGUUGAAGUGGAGAUUAGGCCUAAAGGGCUUUCAUGGUGUUAGUAGUGAUGGACGUAGUGGAGGCCUUGCUUUGUUC
RNAcentral lists this ribosomal RNA (252 nucleotides) under Triticum aestivum (bread wheat). RNAcentral's name for it is "partial small subunit ribosomal RNA". The record is from RNAcentral. Lineage: Eukaryota; Viridiplantae; Streptophyta; Magnoliopsida; Poales; Poaceae.